CAGAAAAUAGUUUAUUAAAAUAUUAGUUUUGGAGACUAAAGAUAAAAUUAAUUUUUUUUCUGA
Molecule: transfer RNA, 63 nt
Filed under: Ptiliidae sp. BMNH 1274724
Lineage: Eukaryota; Metazoa; Arthropoda; Insecta; Coleoptera; Ptiliidae
Description: tRNA-Pro
Rfam family: tRNA
About the family: Transfer RNA (tRNA) molecules are approximately 80 nucleotides in length. Their secondary structure includes four short double-helical elements and three loops (D, anti-codon, and T loops).
Source: RNAcentral